RNAcentral lists this ribosomal RNA (461 nucleotides) under Weissella confusa. Its description in RNAcentral is "bacterial SSU rRNA". It matches the Rfam family "Bacterial small subunit ribosomal RNA", at positions 338 to 795 of the family's 1533-position model. The record is from RNAcentral. Lineage: Bacteria; Bacillati; Bacillota; Bacilli; Lactobacillales; Lactobacillaceae.
CCUACGGGGGGCAGCAGCAACGAAUCUUCCCCAAUGCCGGAAACGGUGAGGGAGCGACGCCGCGUGAAGGAUGAAGUACUUCGGUAUGUAAACUUCUGUAAGGGACAUGAAAGGUUAGCGCCUAACACGCGCAAAAUUUGAUCUGUCCCCUAAAAGGGGCGGCUAACUCUGUGCCAGCAGCCGCGGUAAUACAGAGGCCCCAAGCGUUACUGAGAAUCACUGGGUUUAAAGGGUGCGUAGGUGGUCCGUUAAGUUCGUUGUGAAAGCCCUGGGCUCAACCCAGGAACUGCUUCGAAUACUGGCGGACUUGAGGCUAGUAGGGGUUACUGGAACUGACGGUGGAGCGGUGAAAUGCGUAGAUAUCGUCAGGAACGCCAAUGGUGAAGACAGGUAACUGGGCUAGUUCUGACACUGAGGCACGAAAGCGUGGGGAGCGAACGGGAUUAGAUACCCUAGUAGUC